RNAcentral lists this ribosomal RNA (253 nucleotides) under uncultured bacterium. RNAcentral's name for it is "partial 16S ribosomal RNA". It matches the Rfam family "Bacterial small subunit ribosomal RNA", at positions 524 to 776 of the family's 1533-position model. The record is from RNAcentral.
UACGUAGGGUGCAAGCGUUGUCCGGAAUUAUUGGGCGUAAAGAGCUCGUAGGCGGUCUGUCACGUCGGAUGUGAAAACUCGGGGCUCAACCCCGAGCCUGCAUACGAUACGGGCAGGCUUGAGUUCGGCAGGGGAGACUGGAAUUCCUGGUGUAGCGGUGAAAUGCGCAGAUAUCAGGAGGAACACCGGUGGCGAAGGCGGGUCUCUGGGCCGAUACUGACGCUGAGGAGCGAAAGCGUGGGGAGCGAACAGG